Molecule: ribosomal RNA, 396 nt
Filed under: uncultured bacterium
Lineage: Bacteria
Description: partial 16S ribosomal RNA
Rfam family: Bacterial small subunit ribosomal RNA
Source: RNAcentral
AUACGUAGGUGACAAGCGUUAUCCGGAUUUACUGGGCGUAAAGGGCGUGUAGGCGGUCUUGCAAGUCAGAAGUGAAAUUCCUGAGCUCAACUCGGGCGCUGCUUCUGAAACUGCAGGACUUGAGUGCUGGAGGGGAUAGCGGAAUUCCUAGUGGAGCGGUAAAAUGCGCAGAUAUUAGGAAGAACACAGUUGGCGAAGGCGGCAAUCGGGACAGUAACGGACGCUGAGGCGCGAAAGCGUGGGGAGCAAACAGGAUUAGAUCCCCUGGUAGUCCACGCCGUAAACGAUGAAUACUAGGUGUGGGGGGACUGAACCCUUCCGUGCCGCAGUUAACACAAUAAGUCAUCCACCUGGGGAGUACGGCCGCAAGGUUGAAACUCAAAUGAAUUGGCGGGG